This is a non-coding RNA of Salmo salar (Atlantic salmon), 54 nucleotides long. The record is from Rfam. Lineage: Eukaryota; Metazoa; Chordata; Actinopteri; Salmoniformes; Salmonidae.
UUCACUCAAUACUGUAAGUCGCUCUGGGUAAGAGCAUCUGCUAAAUUAUGUAAA